This 354-nucleotide ribosomal RNA is filed under the name uncultured bacterium. RNAcentral describes it as "partial 16S ribosomal RNA". It matches the Rfam family "Bacterial small subunit ribosomal RNA", at positions 338 to 684 of the family's 1533-position model. The record is from RNAcentral.
CCUACGGGAUGCAGCAGUGGGGCAUAUUGCGCAAUGGGCGAAAGCCUGACGCAGCGACGCCGCGUGAGGGAUGAAGGUCCUCGGAUCGUAAACCUCUGUCAGCAGGGAAGAACGAUCACUGUGCUAAUCAGCAGUGAAUUGACGGUACCUGCAACGGAAGCACCGGCUCACUCCGUGCCAGCAGCCGCGGUAAUACGGAGGGUGCGAGCGUUAAUCGGAAUUACUGGGCGGAAAGUGCUAGUAGGCGGUAUGUCAAGUCAAGGGUGAAAUCCCUGCGCUCAACGUGGGAACUGCCUUUGAAUCUGGCAAACUGGAGUGUGUGAGAGGAUAGUGGAAUUCCAGGUGUAGGAGUGA